RNAcentral lists this ribosomal RNA (429 nucleotides) under Chloroflexota bacterium. Its description in RNAcentral is "Chloroflexi bacterium partial 16S ribosomal RNA". It matches the Rfam family "Bacterial small subunit ribosomal RNA", at positions 355 to 776 of the family's 1533-position model. The record is from RNAcentral. Lineage: Bacteria; Bacillati; Chloroflexota.
UGGGGAAUAUUGCACAAUGGGCGCAAGCCUGAUGCAGCCAUGCCGCGUGUAUGAAGAAGGCCUUCGGGUUGUAAAGUACUUUCAGCGGGGAGGAAGGGAGUAAAGUUAAUACCUUUGCUCAUUGACGUUACCCGCAGAAGAAGCACCGGCUAACUCCGUGCCAGCAGCCGCGGUAAUACGGAGGGUGCAAGCGUUAAUCGGCAUUACUGGGCGUAAAGCGCACGCAGGCGGUUUGUUAAGUCAGAUGUGAAAUCCCCGGGCUCAACCUGGGAACGGCAUCUGAUACUGGCAAGCUUGAGUCUCGUAGAGGGGGGUAGAAUUCCAGGUGUAGCGGUGAAAUGCGUAGAGAUCUGGAGGAAUACCGGUGGCGAAGGCGGCCCCCUGGACAAAGACUGACGCUCAGGUGCGAAAGCGUGGGGAGCAAACAGG